GGGGUGGCGUCUAUGCUGCAGUCGUACGCGUGCUUGGUUAUUGAUGUUAGAUGCUUGCAUUUAACUGAUUUAACAUUGAGACGAGUGGCGAACUGGUGAGUAACACGUGGGUAACCUGCCCUUGAAGUAGGGGAUAACACUUGGAAACAGGUGCUAAUACCGUAUAACAACCAAAACCACCUGGUUUUGGUUUAAAAGAUGGCUUCGGCUAUCACUUUAGGAUGGACCCGCGGCGUAUUAGCUUGUUGGUAAGGUAACGGCCUACCAAGGCAAUGAUACGUAGCCGACCUGAGAGGGUAAUCGGCCACAUUGGGACUGAGACACGGCCCAAACUCCUACGGGAGGCAGCAGUAGGGAAUCUUCCACAAUGGACGAAAGUCUGAUGGAGCAACGCCGCGUGAGUGAUGAAGGGUUUCGGCUCGUAAAACUCUGUUGUUGGAGAAGAACAGGUGUGAGAGUAACUGUUCACAUCUUGACGGUAUCCAACCAGAAAGCCACGGCUAACUACGUGCCAGCAGCCGCGGUAAUACGUAGGUGGCAAGCGUUGUCCGGAUUUAUUGGGCGUAAAGCGAGCGCAGGCGGUUUCUUAGGUCUGAUGUGAAAGCCUUCGGCUUAACCGGAGAAGUGCAUCGGAAACCAGGAGACUUGAGUGCAGAAGAGGACAGUGGAACUCCAUGUGUAGCGGUGAAAUGCGUAGAUAUAUGGAAGAACACCAGUGGCGAAGGCGGCUGUCUGGUCUGUAACUGACGCUGAGGCUCGAAAGCAUGGGUAGCGAACAGGAUUAGAUACCCUGGUAGUCCAUGCCGUAAACGAUGAGUGCUAAGUGUUGGAGGGUUUCCGCCCUUCAGUGCUGCAGCUAACGCAUUAAGCACUCCGCCUGGGGAGUACGACCGCAAGGUUUGAAACUCAAAGGAAUUGACGGGGGCCCGCACAAGCGGUGGAGCAUGUGGUUUAAUUCGAUGCUACGCGAAGAACCUUACCAGGUCCUUGACAUCUUCUGCCAACCCUAAGAGAUUACGGCGUUUCCCUUCGGGGACAGAAUGACAGGUGGUGCAUGGAUUGUCGUUCAGCUCGUGUCGUGAGAUGUUUGGCUUAAGUCCCCGCACGAGCGCAACCCCUUUAUUGUUUAGGUUGCCAGGCAUUUCAGCUUGGGGCCACCUCUAAGCCAGACCUGACCGUUGAACUAAUCUCGGAGGCAAGGGUGGGGAUAGGACCGUCA
RNAcentral lists this ribosomal RNA (1219 nucleotides) under Lentilactobacillus buchneri. RNAcentral's name for it is "bacterial SSU rRNA". It matches the Rfam family "Bacterial small subunit ribosomal RNA", at positions 1 to 1187 of the family's 1533-position model. The record is from RNAcentral. Lineage: Bacteria; Bacillati; Bacillota; Bacilli; Lactobacillales; Lactobacillaceae.